GAGGGUAUAGUUCAGUGGUAGAGUAUGUGCUUAGCAUGCAAGAGGUCCUGGGUUCAAUCCCCGGUACCUCCG
Molecule: transfer RNA, 72 nt
Filed under: Camelus bactrianus (Bactrian camel)
Lineage: Eukaryota; Metazoa; Chordata; Mammalia; Artiodactyla; Camelidae
Also listed under: 2 other names
Rfam family: tRNA
About the family: Transfer RNA (tRNA) molecules are approximately 80 nucleotides in length. Their secondary structure includes four short double-helical elements and three loops (D, anti-codon, and T loops). Further hydrogen bonds mediate the characteristic L-shaped molecular structure. tRNAs have two regions of fundamental functional importance: the anti-codon, which is responsible for specific mRNA codon recognition, and the 3' end, to which the tRNAs corresponding amino acid is attached (by aminoacyl-tRNA synthetases). tRNAs cope with the degeneracy of the genetic code in two manners: having more than one tRNA (with a specific anti-codon) for a particular amino acid; and 'wobble' base-pairing, i.e. permitting non-standard base-pairing at the 3rd anti-codon position.
Source: Rfam by way of RNAcentral